GUUGUAUGGUUAAGUGACUAAGCGUACACGGUGGAUGCCUUGGCAGUCAGAGGCGAUGAAGGACGUAUUAACUUGCGAUAAGCCCAGAUUAGGUAGUAAAAACCAUUUGAGUCUGGGAUUUCCGAAUGGGGAAACCCACUUACAUAAGUAAGUAUCGCUGCGUGAAUACAUAGCGCAGCGAGGCGAACCGGGGGAACUGAAACAUCUAAGUACCCCGAGGAAAAGAAAUCAACCGAGAUUCCGAAAGUAGCGGCGAGCGAAAUUGGACUAGCCCUUAAGCUUUUUAUGCGUCAGGUGAAACUUCUGGAAAGUUGUGCGAUACAGGGUGAUAGCCCCGUAACCGGCAACGCAUAUAAAGUGAAAUCGAGUAGGGCGGGACACGUGAUAUCCUGUCUGAAUAUGGGGGGACCAUCCUCCAAGGCUAAAUACUACUGACUGACCGAUAGUGAACCAGUACCGUGAGGGAAAGGCGAAAAGAACCCCUGUGAGGGGAGUGAAAUAGAACCUGAAACCGUGUACGUACAAGCAGUAGGAGCACCUUCGUGGUGUGACUGCGUACCUUUUGUAUAAUGGGUCAGCGACUUAUAUUCAGUGGCAAGGUUAACCAUCUAGGGGAGCCGUAGCGAAAGCGAGUGUUAACUGCGCGACUCAGUCGCUGGAUAUAGACCCGAAACCAGGUGAUCUAGCCAUGGGCAGGUUGAAGAUUGAGUAACAUCAAUUGGAGGACCGAACCGACUAAUGUUGAAAAAUUAGCGGAUGACUUGUGGCUAGGGGUGAAAGGCCAAUCAAACCUGGAGAUAGCUGGUUCUCCCCGAAAGCUAUUUAGGUAGCGCCUCGGACGAAUACUACUGGGGGUAGAGCACUGUUAAGGCUAGGGGGUCAUCCCGACUUACCAACCCUUUGCAAACUCCGAAUACCAGUAAGUACUAUCCGGGAGACACACGGCGGGUGCUAACGUCCGUCGUGGAGAGGGAAACAACCCAGACCGCCAGCUAAGGUCCCAAAUUACUACUAAGUGGGAAACGAUGUGGGAAGGCUCAGACAGCCAGGAUGUUGGCUUAGAAGCAGCCAUCAUUUAAAGAAAGCGUAAUAGCUCACUGGUCGAGUCGGCCUGCGCGGAAGAUGUAACGGGGCUAAGUAGUAAACCGAAGCUGCGGCAAUGCACUUUAGUGCAUUGGGUAGGGAGCGUUCUGUAAGCGGUUGAAGGUGUGUGGUAACGCAUGCUGGACGUAUCAGAAGUGCGAAUGCUGACAUGAGUAACGAUAAAGGGGGUGAAAAACCUCCUCGCCGGAAGACCAAGGGUUCCUGUCCAACGUUAAUCGGGGCAGGGUAAGUCGACCCUAAGGCGAGGCCGAAAGGCGUAGUCGAUGGGAAACGGGUUAAUAUUCCCGUACUUCUUACAAUUGCGAUGGGGGACGGAGAAGGCUAGGUGGGCCUGGCGACGGUUGUCCAGGUUCAAGUGCGUAGGCUGAGAAAUUAGGUAAAUCCGGUUUCUCUUAAGGCUGAGACACGACGUCGAGCUACUACGGUAGUGAAGUCAUUGAUGCCAUGCUUCCAGGAAAAGCCUCUAAGCUUCAGAUUGUAAGGAAUCGUACCCCAAACCGACACAGGUGGUCGGGUAGAGAAUACCAAGGCGCUUGAGAGAACUCGGGUGAAGGAACUAGGCAAAAUGGUACCGUAACUUCGGGAGAAGGUACGCUCUUGAUGGUGAAGUCCCUCGCGGAUGGAGCUGACGAGAGUCGCAGAUACCAGGUGGCUGCAACUGUUUAUUAAAAACACAGCACUGUGCAAAAUCGUAAGAUGACGUAUACGGUGUGACGCCUGCCCGGUGCCGGAAGGUUAAUUGAUGGGGUUAGACUUCGGUCGAAGCUCUUGAUCGAAGCCCCGGUAAACGGCGGCCGUAACUAUAACGGUCCUAAGGUAGCGAAAUUCCUUGUCGGGUAAGUUCCGACCUGCACGAAUGGCGUAAUGAUGGCCACGCUGUCUCCACCCGAGACUCAGUGAAAUUGAAAUCGCUGUGAAGAUGCAGUGUACCCGCGGCUAGACGGAAAGACCCCGUGAACCUUUACUACAGCUUGGCACUGAACAUUGACCCUACAUGUGUAGGAUAGGUGGGAGGCUUUGAAGCAAGUACGCCAGUAUUUGUGGAGCCGUCCUUGAAAUACCACCCUUGUAGUGUUGAUGUUCUAACGUUGACCCCUAAUCGGGGUUGCGGACAGUGCCUGGUGGGUAGUUUGACUGGGGCGGUCUCCUCCCAAAGAGUAACGGAGGAGCACGAAGGUGGGCUAAUCACGGUUGGACAUCGUGAGGUUAGUGCAAUGGCAUAAGCCCGCUUGACUGCGAGAAUGACAAUUCGAGCAGGUGCGAAAGCAGGUCAUAGUGAUCCGGUGGUUCUGUAUGGAAGGGCCAUCGCUCAACGGAUAAAAGGUACUCCGGGGAUAACAGGCUGAUACCGCCCAAGAGUUCAUAUCGACGGCGGUGUUUGGCACCUCGAUGUCGGCUCAUCACAUCCUGGGGCUGAAGUCGGUCCCAAGGGUAUGGCUGUUCGCCAUUUAAAGUGGUACGCGAGCUGGGUUUAGAACGUCGUGAGACAGUUCGGUCCCUAUCUGCCGUGGGCGUUGGAAGAUUGAAGGGGGCUGCUCCUAGUACGAGAGGACCGGAGUGGACGAACCUCUGGUGUUCGGGUUGUGUCGCCAGACGCAUUGCCCGGUAGCUAAGUUCGGAAUCGAUAACCGCUGAAAGCAUCUAAGCGGGAAGCGAGCCCUGAGAUGAGUCUUCCCUGAUACUUUAAGUAUCCUAAAGGGUUGUUCGAGACUAGAACGUUGAUAGGCAGGGUGUGUAAGCGUUGUGAGGCGUUGAGCUAACCUGUACUAAUUGCCCGUGAGGCUUAACCAUACAACACCCAAGGGGUUU
This 2913-nucleotide ribosomal RNA is filed under the name Vibrio owensii. RNAcentral's name for it is "bacterial LSU rRNA". It matches the Rfam family "Bacterial large subunit ribosomal RNA". The record is from RNAcentral. Lineage: Bacteria; Pseudomonadati; Pseudomonadota; Gammaproteobacteria; Vibrionales; Vibrionaceae.